GCGGAAGUAGCUCAGGGGUAGAGCACAACCUUGCCAAGGUUGGGGUCGCGGGUCCAAAUCCCGUCUUCCGCUCCA
This 75-nucleotide transfer RNA is filed under the name Synergistaceae bacterium. RNAcentral describes it as "tRNA-Gly". It matches the Rfam family "tRNA". Rfam says of the family: Transfer RNA (tRNA) molecules are approximately 80 nucleotides in length. Their secondary structure includes four short double-helical elements and three loops (D, anti-codon, and T loops). Further hydrogen bonds mediate the characteristic L-shaped molecular structure. tRNAs have two regions of fundamental functional importance: the anti-codon, which is responsible for specific mRNA codon recognition, and the 3' end, to which the tRNAs corresponding amino acid is attached (by aminoacyl-tRNA synthetases). tRNAs cope with the degeneracy of the genetic code in two manners: having more than one tRNA (with a specific anti-codon) for a particular amino acid; and 'wobble' base-pairing, i.e. permitting non-standard base-pairing at the 3rd anti-codon position. The record is from RNAcentral. RNAcentral also lists the same sequence under 1 other name. Lineage: Bacteria; Thermotogati; Synergistota; Synergistia; Synergistales; Synergistaceae.